This 267-nucleotide ribosomal RNA is filed under the name uncultured bacterium. Its description in RNAcentral is "partial 16S ribosomal RNA". It matches the Rfam family "Bacterial small subunit ribosomal RNA", at positions 793 to 1055 of the family's 1533-position model. The record is from RNAcentral.
GUCCACGCCGUAAACGAUGAGCACUAGUUAUUGGGGGUAUUGACUCCCUCAGUGACGCAGCUAACGCAUUAAGUGCUCCGCCUGGGGAGUACGGUCGCAAGACUAAAACUCAAACAAAUUGACGGGGGCCCCGCACAAGCGGUGGAUUAUGUGGUUUAAUUCGAAGCAACGCGCAGAACCUUACCUAGGCUUUAACUCCUACGAACCCGAAGUAAUGUUUGGGGUGUCCGCAAGGAAAUGUAGUGAGAGGUGCUGCAUGGCUGUCGU